UACGGGGGGGAGCAAGCGUUGUUUCGGAUUUACUGGGCGUAAAGGCGCGUAGGCGGCCACUGCAAGUCGGUUGUGAAAUCUCCGGGCUUAACCCGGAAAGGUCAACCGAUACUGCAGGGCUAGAGUGCAGAAGGGGCAACUGGAAUUCUCGGUGUAGCGGUGAAAUGCGUAGAUAUCGAGAGGAACACCCUGCGGCGAAGGCGGGUUGCUGGGCUGAUACUGACGCUGAGGCGCGAAAGCCAGGGGAGCGAACGGG
Molecule: ribosomal RNA, 256 nt
Filed under: uncultured bacterium
Lineage: Bacteria
Description: partial 16S ribosomal RNA
Rfam family: Bacterial small subunit ribosomal RNA
Source: RNAcentral